UAUACUGUGAAACUGCGAAUGGCUCAUUAAAUCAGUUAUCGUUUAUUUGAUAGUACCUUACUACUUGGAUAACCGUGGUAAUUCUAGAGCUAAUACAUGCUAAAAACCCCGACUUUUGAAGGGGUGUAUUUAUUAGAUAAAAAACCAAUGCCCUUCGGGGCUCCUUGGUGAUUCAUAAUAACUAAACGAAUCGCAUGGCCUUGCGCCGGCGAUGGUUCAUUCAAAUUUCUGCCCUAUCAACUUUCGAUGGUAGGAUAGUGGCCUACCAUGGUUUCAACGGGUAACGGGGAAUUAGGGUUCUAUUCCGGAGAGGGAGCCUGAGAAACGGCUACCACAUCCAAGGAAGGCAGCAGGCGCGCAAAUUACCCAAUCCCGACACGGGGAGGUAGUGACAAUAAAUACUGAUACAGGGCUCUUAUGGGUCUUGUAAUUGGAAUGAGUACAAUUUAAAUCCCUUAACGAGGAACAAUUGGAGGGCAAGUCUGGUGCCAGCAGCCGCGGUAAUUCCAGCUCCAAUAGCGUAUAUUAAAGUUGUUGCAGUUAAAAAAGCUCGUAGUUGAACCUUGGGCCUGGCUGGUCGGUCCGCCUCACCGCGUGUACUGAUCCGGCCGGGCCUUUCCUUCUGGCUAGCCGCAUGCCCUUCACUGGGUGUGUUGGUGAACCAGGACUUUUACUUUGAAAAAAUUAGAGUGUUCAAAGCAGGCCUUUGCUCGAAUACAUUAGCAUGGAAUAAUAGAAUAGGACGUGUGGUUCUAUUUUGUUGGUUUCUAGGACCGCCGUAAUGAUUAAUAGGGAUAGUCGGGGGUAUCAGUAUUCAAUUGUCAGAGGUGAAAUUCUUAGAUUUAUUGAAGACUAACUACUGCGAAAGCAUUUACCAAGGAUGUUUUCAUUAAUCAGUGAACGAAAGUUAGGGGAUCGAAGACGAUCAGAUACCGUCGUAGUCUUAACCGUAAACUAUGCCGACUAGGGAUCGGGUGAUGUUAUUAUUUUGACUCGCUCGGCACCUUACGAGAAAUCAAAGUC
This 1023-nucleotide ribosomal RNA is filed under the name Pseudorobillarda phragmitis. Its description in RNAcentral is "SSU rRNA". It matches the Rfam family "Eukaryotic small subunit ribosomal RNA", at positions 75 to 1105 of the family's 1831-position model. The record is from RNAcentral. Lineage: Eukaryota; Fungi; Ascomycota; Dothideomycetes; Pleosporales.